RNAcentral lists this ribosomal RNA (253 nucleotides) under uncultured bacterium. RNAcentral describes it as "partial 16S ribosomal RNA". It matches the Rfam family "Bacterial small subunit ribosomal RNA", at positions 524 to 776 of the family's 1533-position model. The record is from RNAcentral.
UACAGAGGGUACAAGCGUUGUUCGGAAUUAUUGGGCGUAAAGCGCGUGUAGGCGGCUUUGCAAGUCGGGUGUGAAAUCCCUCAGCUCAACUGAGGAAGUGCGCCCGAAACUGCAGAGCUUGAAUACCGGAGAGGAUGGCGGAAUUCCCCAAGUAGAGGUGAAAUUCGUAGAUAUGGGGAGGAACACCGGUGGCGAAGGCGGCCAUCUGGACGGAUAUUGACGCUGAGACGCGAAAGCGUGGGUAGCAAACAGG